RNAcentral lists this ribosomal RNA (383 nucleotides) under Myxococcus sp. RNAcentral describes it as "partial 23S ribosomal RNA". It matches the Rfam family "Bacterial large subunit ribosomal RNA", at positions 2543 to 2925 of the family's 2925-position model. Lineage: Bacteria; Pseudomonadati; Myxococcota; Myxococcia; Myxococcales; Myxococcaceae. The record is from RNAcentral.
CAUCCUGGGGCUGGAGCAGGUCCCAAGGGUUUGGCUGUUCGCCAAUUAAAGCGGUACGCGAGCUGGGUUCAAAACGUCGUGAGACAGUUUGGUCCCUAUCUUCCGUGGGCGUAGGAGGCUUGAGAGGAUCUGACCUUAGUACGAGAGGACCGGGUUGGACGCACCUCUGGUGUACCAGUUGUCACGCCAGUGGCAUCGCUGGGUAGCCAUGUGCGGAUUGGAUAACCGCUGAAAGCAUCUAAGCGGGAAACCGACCUCAAGAUUUGGCCUCCCGGGGGCAACCCCCUGAAGACCCGAUGGAGACUACGUCGUUGAUAGGCCGGAUGUGUAAGCGCGGCAACGCGUUCAGCUAACCGGUACUAAUCGGUCGUGAGGCUUACAUU